Molecule: ribosomal RNA, 245 nt
Filed under: uncultured bacterium
Lineage: Bacteria
Description: partial 16S ribosomal RNA
Rfam family: Bacterial small subunit ribosomal RNA
Source: RNAcentral
UACGUAGGGGGCUAGCGUUGUCCGGAUUUAUUGGGUGUAAAGGGCGCGUAGGCGGUUUUGUAAGUCAAACGUGAAAUCUGCAGGCUUAACCUGCAGCCUGCGUUUGAUACUGCUUAACUUGAGUGGAGUAGAGGCAAGUGGAAUUUCCAGUGUAGCGGUGAAAUGCGUAGAUAUUGGAAGGAACACCGGUGGCGAAGGCGGCUUGCUGGGCUCUGACUGACGCUGAGGCGCGAAAGCGUGGGUAG